AGUGAACGCUGGCGGUAGGCCUAACACAUGCAAGUCGAACGGCAGCACAGUAAGAGCUUGCUCUUACGGGUGGCGAGUGGCGGACGGGUGAGGAAUACAUCGGAAUCUACUUUUUCGUGGGGGAUAACGUAGGGAAACUUACGCUAAUACCGCAUACGACCUACGGGUGAAAGCAGGGGAUCUUCGGACCUUGCGCGAUUGAAUGAGCCGAUGUCGGAUUAGCUAGUUGGCGGGGUAAAGGCCCACCAAGGCGACGAUCCGUAGCUGGUCUGAGAGGAUGAUCAGCCACACUGGAACUGAGACACGGUCCAGACUCCUACGGGAGGCAGCAGUGGGGAAUAUUGGACAAUGGGCGCAAGCCUGAUCCAGCCAUACCGCGUGGGUGAAGGAGGCCUUCGGGUUGUAAAGCCCUUUUGUUGGGAAAGAAAAGCAGCAGGUUAAGACCCCGCUGUUCUGACGGUACCCAAAGAAUAAGCACCGGCGAACUUCGU
RNAcentral lists this ribosomal RNA (491 nucleotides) under uncultured bacterium. RNAcentral's name for it is "partial 16S ribosomal RNA". It matches the Rfam family "Bacterial small subunit ribosomal RNA", at positions 29 to 506 of the family's 1533-position model. The record is from RNAcentral.